GUCGAACGCUUCUUUUUCCACCGGAGCUUGCUCCACCGGAAAAAGAGGAGUGGCGAACGGGUGAGUAACACGUGGGUAACCUGCCCAUCAGAAGGGGAUAACACUUGGAAACAGGUGCUAAUACCGUAUAACAAUCAAAACCGCAUGGUUUUGAUUUGAAAGGCGCUUUCGGGUGUCGCUGAUGGAUGGACCCGCGGUGCAUUAGCUAGUUGGUGAGGUAACGGCUCACCAAGGCCACGAUGCAUAGCCGACCUGAGAGGGUGAUCGGCCACAUUGGGACUGAGACACGGCCCAAACUCCUACGGGAGGCAGCAGUAGGGAAUCUUCGGCAAUGGACGAAAGUCUGACCGAGCAACGCCGCGUGAGUGAAGAAGGUUUUCGGAUCGUAAAACUCUGUUGUUAGAGAAGAACAAGGAUGAGAGUAACUGUUCAUCCCUUGACGGUAUCUAACCAGAAAGCCACGGCUAACUACGUGCCAGCAGCCGCGGUAAUACGUAGGUGGCAAGCGUUGUCCGGAUUUAUUGGGCGUAAAGCGAGCGCAGGCGGUUUCUUAAGUCUGAUGUGAAAGCCCCCGGCUCAACCGGGGAGGGUCAUUGGAAACUGGGAGACUUGAGUGCAGAAGAGGAGAGUGGAAUUCCAUGUGUAGCGGUGAAAUGCGUAGAUAUAUGGAGGAACACCAGUGGCGAAGGCGGCUCUCUGGUCUGUAACUGACGCUGAGGCUCGAAAGCGUGGGGAGCAAACAGGAUUAGAUACCCUGGUAGUCCACGCCGUAAACGAUGAGUGCUAAGUGUUGGAGGGUUUCCGCCCUUCCGUGCUGCAGCUAACGCAUUAAGCACUCCGCCUGGGGAGUACGACCGCAAGGUUGGAACUCAAAGGAAUUGACGGGGGCCCGCACAAGCG
This 900-nucleotide ribosomal RNA is filed under the name Enterococcus faecium. RNAcentral describes it as "bacterial SSU rRNA". It matches the Rfam family "Bacterial small subunit ribosomal RNA", at positions 61 to 931 of the family's 1533-position model. The record is from RNAcentral. Lineage: Bacteria; Bacillati; Bacillota; Bacilli; Lactobacillales; Enterococcaceae.